Molecule: transfer RNA, 94 nt
Filed under: Ictidomys tridecemlineatus (thirteen-lined ground squirrel)
Lineage: Eukaryota; Metazoa; Chordata; Mammalia; Rodentia; Sciuridae
Description: Spermophilus tridecemlineatus (thirteen-lined ground squirrel) tRNA
Rfam family: tRNA
About the family: Transfer RNA (tRNA) molecules are approximately 80 nucleotides in length. Their secondary structure includes four short double-helical elements and three loops (D, anti-codon, and T loops).
Source: Rfam by way of RNAcentral
UGCAUGUAACUCAGUAGUAGAGUGCUUGCCUAACAUGCUUAUUAAUAUUUAAUAAUAUUUAAUUGAACCCUGGGUUCAAUUCCCAGCACUGCAA